Molecule: ribosomal RNA, 390 nt
Filed under: uncultured bacterium
Lineage: Bacteria
Description: bacterial SSU rRNA
Rfam family: Bacterial small subunit ribosomal RNA
Source: RNAcentral
GAUGAACGCUGGCGGCGUGCCUAAUACAUGCAAGUCGAGCGAACGGACGAGAAGCUUGCUUCUCUGAUGUUAGCGGCGGACGGGUGAGUAACACGUGGAUAACCUACCUAUAAGACUGGGAUAACUUCGGGAAACCGGAGCUAAUACCGGAUAAUAUUUUGAACCGCAUGGUUCAAAAGUGAAAGACGGUCUUGCUGUCACUUAUAGAUGGAUCCGCGCUGCAUUAGCUAGUGAGUACGCUUACCAAGGCAACGAUGCAUAGCCGACUGAGAGGGUGAUCGGCCACACUGGGAACUGAGACACGGGUCCAGACUCCUACGGGAGCAGCAGUGGGAAUCUCGCAAUGGGCAAAGCCUGACGGAGCAACGCCGCGUGAGUGAUGAAGGUCUU